This 1003-nucleotide long non-coding RNA is filed under the name Salmo salar (Atlantic salmon). RNAcentral's name for it is "lncRNA (ENSSSAG00000113931.1)". Lineage: Eukaryota; Metazoa; Chordata; Actinopteri; Salmoniformes; Salmonidae. The record is from RNAcentral.
GUAACCAACUGCGGCCUUGACCUCCAACAGUAUCAGCAACAGAGAGGUGUGAAGUUUCCACAACAGACUUAGAGUCAGUUUAUCAUACACUUCUCUUUAGACGCUGCAGCCUUGACCUCCAUCAACAGAGUUAGAGUUAGUUUAUCAUGAGAACAUACAGACACCACUGACUGGAACCAGCUGACAGUAUCAGUUGUAAAGGCUUCAUUACUACUAACAGAAGGAAAGUUGUAGUGUUAUGUCCAUGAUGAAUGAUGUAAAGGCUUCAUUACUACUAACAGAAGGAAAGUUGUAGUGUCCAUGAUGAAUGAUGUAAAGGCUUCAUUACUACUAACAGAAGGAAAGUUGUAGUGUUAUGUCCAUGAUGAAUGAUGUAAAGGCUUCAUUACUACUAACAGAAGGAAAGUUGUAGUGUCCAUGAUGAAUGAUGUAAAGGCUUCAUUACUACUAACAGAAGGAAAGUUGUAGUGUUAUGUCCAUGAUGAAUGAUGUAAAGGCUUCAUUACUACUAACAGAAGGAAAGUUGUAGUGUUAUGUCCAUGAUGAAUGAUGUAAAGGCUUCAUUACUACUAACAGAAGGAAAGUUGUAGUGUUAUGUCCAUGAUGAAUGAUGUAAAGGCUUCAUUACUACUAACAGAAGGAAAGUUGUAGUGUCCAUGAUGAAUGAUGUAAAGGCUUCAUUACUACUAACAGAAGGAAAGUUGUAGUGUUAUGUCCAUGAUGAAUGAUGUAAAGGCUUCAUUACUACUAACAGAAGGAACGUUGUAGUGUUAUGUCCAUGAUGAAUGAUGUAAAGGCUUCAUUACUACUAACAGAAGGAAAGUUGUAGUGUUAUGUCCAUGAUGAAUGAUGUAAAGGUUUCAAUGUGUUUUAUAUUGAGCUGCUCUGUUAAAUUCUGUUUGUUCAUGUGAAAUUGGAAAUUGUAUUUUUCUAUAAUGUCAUUGUGUGUGUUUAGCUUGAGCAACACCAUUGUAUGGUUGCUAACUUGUCAAAUAAAGCUUCC